GAUGAAGAACGCAGCGAAGUGCGAUACUUGGUGUGAAUUGCAGAAUCCCGUGAACCAUCGAGUCUUUGAACGCAAGUUGCGCCCGAAGCCAUUAGGCCGAGGGCACGCCUGCCUGGGCGUCACACGUCGUUGCCCCCCCAUCUACUCCUUCGGGAUUGCGGGGGGCGGAUGAUGGCCUCCCGUGCGCCUCGCCGCGCGGUUGGCAUAAAUGCCAAGUCCUCGGCGACGCACGCCACGACAAUCGGUGGUUGCGAAACCUCGGUUGCCCGUCGUGUGCGGUCGUCGCGCAUCGAGGGCUCGAAAAAAUUGCCGGGUUCCGGCUCGGCUUUCAACGCGACCCCAGGUCAGGCGGGGUUACCCGCUGAAUUUAAGCAUAUCAAUAAGCGGAGGA
RNAcentral lists this unclassified non-coding RNA (391 nucleotides) under soil metagenome. Its description in RNAcentral is "partial contains 5.8S ribosomal RNA, internal transcribed spacer 2, and large subunit ribosomal RNA". The stretch from base 1 to 122 matches the Rfam family "5.8S ribosomal RNA", at positions 35 to 154 of the family's 154-position model. The record is from RNAcentral.